UGGGGAAUAUUGCACAAUGGGCGGAAGCCUGAUGCAGCGACGCCGCGUGAGGGAUGACGGCCUUCGGGUUGUAAACCUCUUUCAGUAGGGACGAAGCGUAAGUGACGGUACCUGCAGAAGAAGCACCGGCUAACUACGUGCCAGCAGCCGCGGUAAUACGUAGGGUGCGAGCGUUGUCCGGAAUUACUGGGCGUAAAGAGCUCGUAGGCGGUUUGUCACGUCGUCUGUGAAAUCCUAGGGCUUAACCCUGGACGUGCAGGCGAUACGGGCUGACUUGAGUACUACAGGGGAGACUGGAAUUUCUGGUGUAGCGGUGGAAUGCACAGAUAUCAGGAAGAACACCGAUGGCGAAGGCAGGUCUUUGGGUAGUAACUGACGCUGAGGAGCGAAAGCAUGGGUAGCGAACAGG
Molecule: ribosomal RNA, 409 nt
Filed under: Verrucomicrobiota bacterium
Lineage: Bacteria; Pseudomonadati; Verrucomicrobiota
Description: Verrucomicrobia bacterium partial 16S ribosomal RNA
Rfam family: Bacterial small subunit ribosomal RNA
Source: RNAcentral